AGGACGAACGCUGGCGGCGUGCUUAACACAUGCAAGUCGAGCGGUAAGGCCCUUUCGGGGGUACACGAGCGGCGAACGGGUGAGUAACACGUGGGUGACCUGCCCUCAGCUCUGGGAUAAGCCUGGGAAACUGGGUCUAAUACCGGAUAUGACCUUUCCUCGCAUGGGGUUUGGUGGAAAGUUUUUCGGCUGGGGAUGGGCCCGCGGCCUAUCAGCUUGUUGGUGGGGUGAUGGCCUACCAAGGCGACGACGGGU
Molecule: ribosomal RNA, 255 nt
Filed under: uncultured soil bacterium
Lineage: Bacteria
Description: partial 16S ribosomal RNA
Rfam family: Bacterial small subunit ribosomal RNA
Source: RNAcentral